RNAcentral lists this ribosomal RNA (270 nucleotides) under uncultured prokaryote. RNAcentral's name for it is "partial 16S ribosomal RNA". It matches the Rfam family "Bacterial small subunit ribosomal RNA", at positions 524 to 794 of the family's 1533-position model. The record is from RNAcentral.
UACGUAGGUCCCGAGCGUUGUCCGGAUUUAUUGGGCGUAAAGCGAGCGCAGGCGGUUUGAUAAGUCUGAAGUUAAAGGCUGUGGCUCAACCAUAGUUCGCUUUGGAAACUGUCAAACUUGAGUGCAGAAGGGGAGAGUGGAAUUCCAUGUGUAGCGGUGAAAUGCGUAGAUAUAUGGAGGAACACCGGUGGCGAAAGCGGCUCUCUGGUCUGUAACUGACGCUGAGGCUCGAAAGCGUGGGGAUCGAACAGGAUUAGAUACCCCCGUAGU